This 473-nucleotide long non-coding RNA is filed under the name Homo sapiens (human). RNAcentral's name for it is "long non-coding RNA NONHSAT060218.2". Lineage: Eukaryota; Metazoa; Chordata; Mammalia; Primates; Hominidae. The record is from RNAcentral.
CUGGCGCUGCGCAGCCUGGUGGAGCUUCGGGCACUGCUGCAGAGACCCCGAGGGACCAGCGGCCCCCUGGAGUUGCUGUCAGAGGCCCUCUGCAGUGUCAGGGGACCUAGCAGCACAGUGGGCCCCUCCCUCAACUGGUACGAGGCUAGUGACCUGAUGGAGCUGGUGGGGCAGGAGCCAGAAUCCGCCCUGCCAGACAGCAGCCUGACCCCGCCUGCUCGGAGCUGAUUGGAGCCCUGGACAGCCACCCGCUGUCCCGCCUGCUCUGGAGACGCCUGAAGCCUCUGAUCCUCGGGAAGCUACUCUUUGCACCAGAUACACCUUUUACCCGGAAGCUCAUGGCCCAGUGAACCGGACCUUCGAGGAGCUCACCCUGCUGAGGGAUGUCCGGGAGGUGUGGGAGAUGCUGGGACCCCGGAUCUUCACCUUCAUGAACGACAGUUCCAAUGUGGCCAUGCUGCAGGUGUGCGGGG